This 39-nucleotide non-coding RNA is filed under the name Prorocentrum micans. Lineage: Eukaryota; Dinophyceae; Prorocentrales; Prorocentraceae. The record is from RNAcentral.
CUGCAAGAAAAAAAAAAAAAAAAAAAAAAAAAAAAAAAA